GGAUCUUGUUUGUGUGUAGUUGCGUUCUGCAUUGCAUAUAGCGUCACGGUCGGUUGUAGUUCAUCUAAUAAAAUGAUGUACGCUUACCACGCUGCACCUUGGUCUAAUUCUUUCAUCAACGAACGUGACAAGUUUACAGGUUCACAGGAGCUAUGUUACCGUGUGCUGUCUAUCCGAGACUGCUAAAUAAUUAGCCAUGGCAGUUUCUAAUGAUUCCUCUUUUCAAGAAGGGCUGGAUGAUGAAACAGGACUCUGGAGGUUAAAUAACAAACAAUCCAACAGCAGUGUAUCCCUCAAGCCAUCUGGGGCAUGAACAUCCUGUGCCCGUGUGAUCCGAGAGCAAACGUCCAGUUGUGGAGACUAAAGCACAUCGAUAUUUUGAACAUCGCAGAAAUGAUUUCCCACCGUGCCCAUGAUGAAGUUAACUACAUUACUUUAGUUGGCUUCUUGGAGCAUAACUUGUAUGUAAUAUAACCUAUUCUGGGAGGUGUGUGUGUGUGUGUGUGUGUGUGUGUGUGUGUGUGCGCGUGUACGAACUAUGUGGAAUAUUCCUGGACCUUUUGUCUUCCCUGAAAACAGGUACUCACACGAGGAGCAAUAUGAGUCCACACAAUGAAGUAGCACCUGUCCCUUCCAGUGAUGCGGAGUUGACCUUGGACCUGGUGGCAGUAAGGAUGGUCUUCAUGGAGACGACAACAACUGAUCGGAGGACCCCUUUUUAGCAGCGACAGAGUAACGCGCUUGGCCCUAACCACUGCUCCAUAAUUGCUGGCCAUCAACCUCCCUCUCAUAUUGUGCCAGUUGGGUUUGAUGCGCUGUCCAACUUGCCUGCCGUAUAGCCUCCUGCUGCUCCACCGACAGCAAACAAGCCAGGCAGGAUGUCUGCAUGCCCCAGGUGCGCUUGUUUUUAACCAUGCCGGUACAGACAGGGAUGACAGGGAGGGUAGUGGUUGUUCUGGCACAGAUUCAAGGAGACAUGCCAUUCCACUGAACGGAGAUAGAGGGUUGUAGUCUUCAGCCAAAUAUAGGUCCUCCAUUGACUGCACCUGGUUGGGCCACGGCUGGCUUCCUCCAAUCACAUUCCACAUCCGUAUGGACGAUAUUGUGAACUGCCAUAAUAGGUUGCAUGGCUACACUGAUAAGCUCCAUGGAGGCAUUUGUAUGUGGCAGAGAGAAUCCCCUGGUCACCUAUAGAGACCUGCCGAGAUGAAGGAUGUUACGUGACACAUGUCUUUCAAAGCUUGACUUUGAAGACCUUGAAAUGCAUUUGUUGAAAGAAAUGUGCUAUAUAAAUAAAGUUUGAUUUGAUUGAUGACACUACAGCUGUAGAAUAUUAAUAAACUGUCAUUUUCAUGAGGACAAGUGCAGUUUUUCCAUAAAGUCCCAAGUUAUCAAUUAAAAGUUUAUCACUUGACAUAUAGCUGUGUUCAAAUACCCAUACCCAUUUCAUAAAAGGAUCCUAUAAAUCAAGACUGAAUGUACCACUCCAAAUAAAUACUGUGCCUUUGAAGAUUUGUCUUUGGCCAUGCAUCUACAAUACAG
Molecule: long non-coding RNA, 1542 nt
Organism: Oncorhynchus tshawytscha (Chinook salmon)
Lineage: Eukaryota; Metazoa; Chordata; Actinopteri; Salmoniformes; Salmonidae
Source: Ensembl